AAAAUAUCAAACUUUCUCUGUAGUCUACAGUUAGCUAGUUACUGUAAAUGUAGGCUACUUUUAAAAUGCCAUGUUGUCCCUCUUCACCAAAACAGACGUAAAAGUAUCACACUUUCUCUG
This is a long non-coding RNA of Etheostoma spectabile (orangethroat darter), 120 nucleotides long. RefSeq lists it as uncharacterized. The transcript is spliced from 3 exons. NCBI's taxonomy places the organism in Eukaryota, Metazoa, Chordata, Actinopteri, Perciformes, Percidae. The record is from RefSeq and is a predicted model, not a curated record.